CCUACGGGUGACAGCAGUGGGGGAUAUUGCACAAUGGGGGAAACCCUGAUGCAGCGACGCCGCGUGGGUGAAGAAGUAUUUCGGUAUGUAAAGCCCUAUCAGCAGGGAAGAAAGAAGACGGUACCUGACUAAGAAGCCCCGGCUAACUACGUGCCAGCAGCCGCGGUAAUACGUAGGGGGCGAGCGUUAUCCGGAUUCACUGGGUGUAAAGGGAGCGUAGACGGCCGUGCAAGCCAGGAGUGAAAGCCCGGGGCCCAACCCCGGGACUGCUCUUGGAACUGUGCGGCUGGAGUGCGGGAGGGGCAGGCGGAAUUCCUGGUGUAGCGGUGAAAUGCGUAGAUAUCAGGAGGAACACCGGCGGCGAAGGCGGCCUGCUGGACCGCGACUGACGUUGAGGCUCGAAAGCGUGGGGAGCGAACAGGAUUAGAUACCCGUGUAGUC
This 441-nucleotide ribosomal RNA is filed under the name uncultured bacterium. RNAcentral's name for it is "partial 16S ribosomal RNA". It matches the Rfam family "Bacterial small subunit ribosomal RNA", at positions 338 to 795 of the family's 1533-position model. The record is from RNAcentral.